Molecule: ribosomal RNA, 254 nt
Filed under: uncultured bacterium
Lineage: Bacteria
Description: partial 16S ribosomal RNA
Rfam family: Bacterial small subunit ribosomal RNA
Source: RNAcentral
GACGAACCGUGCGAACGUUGUUCGGAAUCACUGGGCUUAAAGGGCGCGUAGGCGGACCCGCCAGUCAGGGGUGAAAUCCCACGGCUCAACCGUGGCAGUGCCUUUGAUACUGCGGGUCUCGAGGGAGGUAGGGGCGUGCGGAACUUCCGGUGGAGCGGUGAAAUGCGUAGAUAUCGGAAGGAACACCGGUGGCGAAAGCGGCGCGCUGGACCUCUUCUGACGCUGAGGCGCGAAAGCCAGGGGAGCAAAGCGGG